AUGAACGCUGGCGGCGUGCCUAAUACAUGCAAGUCGAGCGAACGGACGAGAAGCUUGCUUUUCUGAUGUUAGCGGCGGACGGGUGAGUAACACGUGGAUAACCUACCUAUAAGACUGGGAUAACUUCGGGAAACCGGAGCUAAUACCGGAUAAUAUUUUGAACCGCAUGGUUCAAAAGUGAAAGACGGUCUUGCUGUCACUUAUAGAUGGAUCCGCGCUGCAUUAGCUAGUUGGUAAGGUAACGGCUUACCAAGGCAACGAUGCAUAGCCGACCUGAGAGGGUGAUCGGCCACACUGGAACUGAGACACGGUCCAGACUCCUACGGGAGGCAGCAGUAGGGAAUCUUCCGCAAUGGGCGAAAGCCUGACGGAGCAACGCCGCGUGAGUGAUGAAGGUCUUCGGAUCGUAAAACUCUGUUAUUAGGGAGGAACAUAUGUGUAAGUAACUGUGCACAUCUUGACGGUACCUAAUCAGAAAGCCACGGCUAACUACGUG
Molecule: ribosomal RNA, 496 nt
Filed under: uncultured bacterium
Lineage: Bacteria
Description: partial 16S ribosomal RNA
Rfam family: Bacterial small subunit ribosomal RNA
Source: RNAcentral